CACACACACAGCACACUCUUUCUGCUACACAUCCAAGACCAUCCACAGGGUCCACACAUGUACCCGGUCACACACGGUUAUGGAUGCAAAACCCGUGUUACGCCUCUCUCUCUCACACACACACUCUCUCUCUCACACACACACCCUACCUCACAGAGCCAGCGAACACACCGGCGGUCUCACAAGUACUUACGUACACCGGCGCCGGGCACUAGCCGCAACCCUAGCGGUCCCACGCCGGAGGCAUGUCCGACACAACCCGCCAGCCCACCUACAGCCUGAGCCGCCGCGCAGCCCAUCCCUGAGCUUCUCCCCUCACCAGACGGAUUGUUCAUUAAGAGAAGAGAAAAGAGGUGUUCAUCUGAAUCACUCAAGGUUCCAUGGACCUCAUGAAUAGUGAAGAACAGCUUGGUCAUUUCUGAGAGUAUAGCUUUUCAAGACCUUCCUCAAUCCCAAUUAAAGUGCCACCUGCAGAGCAUGAGAAUGACGCUGCAGCCUAACCUAGCCAGCGCAUUACUGGCAUUUCUUUGAAUCUUCUGUCACCAUUAAUUUAGUAGAUGUAAAAUGAUGACUUAAUGUUGCUUUAGCUUCAU
Camelus dromedarius (Arabian camel) is the source of this 593-nucleotide long non-coding RNA. RefSeq lists it as uncharacterized. NCBI's taxonomy places the organism in Eukaryota, Metazoa, Chordata, Mammalia, Artiodactyla, Camelidae. The transcript has 3 exons. The record is from RefSeq and is a predicted model, not a curated record.